GGACCGGUUCUCGUUAGAUCACCGAAGUCAAGCAUCAUUGGGCGCGGUCAGUACUUGGGUGGGUGACCACCUGGGAACACCGCGUGCCGUU
Molecule: non-coding RNA, 91 nt
Organism: Caerostris darwini
Lineage: Eukaryota; Metazoa; Arthropoda; Arachnida; Araneae; Araneidae
Source: the annotation of a GenBank genome assembly